Columba livia (rock pigeon) is the source of this 1701-nucleotide non-coding RNA. The record is from the annotation of a RefSeq genome assembly. NCBI's taxonomy places the organism in Eukaryota, Metazoa, Chordata, Aves, Columbiformes, Columbidae.
GGAGGCGGUGCCGGAGCAGAGAGCCAGUGCUGGCUAGGCGCGGGCUGCAGAGUGACGGGAUGUGUCGGUGUCGGGGCGCAAGGCUGGCGGGACUGGCCACGGUGCUCCUGGUGGCUGUGGGCAGAGCGCAGGUGCAGCAGGACCCUUCGGCAGAGACCAUCGAGGCCAUCGCCAUCAGCAUCAACUGCUCACAUCCCAACAUAAAGACAAACGACUACAUCUACUGGUAUCGUCAGCUCCUGGACCGAGGUCCCGAACUCCUCGUGUGGGGUACUAAAGGCUCCAGACCUCUGUCGGACCCGCCAGGACGGUUGUCGGUGGCGGCAGACCGCCGGUCCAGCGCCCUGUGGCUCGAACGGCCCCGGCGCGGGGACGCGGCGGUGUAUUACUGCGCCGUGGGAGACACGGGGAGAGGAGCCGGGGCUGCGGCCGGACACGAACCGCCGCGGGCGGGGUCGGGUGGGUUUGGGGGGGAGCGGGUGAACAACACCGGUCGGAUCCGCCAGGGAGCGCUGCCGCUCCACCCGCCGGUGCUGCCUUGUCCCGCGGGCUCCGGGGCGGUUCCGUUGCCCGAGCGGCACCGGCACCAGCUUCAGCAUCAACAUCGGCAUCGCCAUUGACAUUUCCGUUGUCACCCCCCGCGGGACGGAGACAGACAUACCCCGUCACAUCACGGUGGAAUCGUGAUCGGAGCAGUGUCGGUGUCCGGUGGUGGCCGGGAAAGAGCGACUGCAGCCGCCGGCCCCGCCGGCUCCCGGCGAGGAGCAGCGACAUUCUGCUCUGCAGAGGGAGGUGGGCAGAGAGAUCCUCCUGCCCACGGGCAACUGCACAGCCCUUGCUCCUGUUGCAAUGACACUCCCAUGGAACACACGGGAGCUCUUCUUGGGCUUUUGGUUUUCCCCAGCAGCACAGCCAAGGGACCCCUGAGCAGGUGCUUUCCUCUGCUCUGUAAACACAGGGACUCCUGUGCUAAAGUGCUAAUGCAAAACUUGACUUAGAAAACAACAAGCAGAAGGGGUUUCAUGUGUUGCUACUUUGUUAAAGCUCAGAUAUGCAAUUUAAAACUGUGUCCUCCAGCUACACACUUUCAGGGAGAUUUCAUACAUUUCCUGUUAGUGUUACAAAGUCAUUGCAUGGAGUUAGGAGCUCAAGCUCCACAUCAACCAGGAACAGGGGAUGUCAAGGUCACAGGCACCUUCAAACACUCCCCACAGUGGCUCAUUAUUGAGACCACAAGCUUGUGUGUCAGGAGUCAGAAGCUUGGCAGCUGAGGCCCAGGAGACAGCACAAAGCUUGCACUGGUCCCACUGACCGCAGCCCCAAGUGAUGCCAGGUUUCUACUUGAAGAGUGAGACAGAAAGACAUCGGCUAAGGUGCCCUGAGCAACUGGAGAUCUGAGGUGAGUGAGAGCUGGCAGGAGGCCUCUGAGAAGAGACUGUGGGCUCCAGCCAGUCCCCAGGGGCAUCUGUAUGGCUCAAGUAGCUGACAGAGCUGUUCACAGCCCAUGGUCAGAGGUUACAGAGGUACAGUGUGAAGGAUCAGCCCUCCUCUCUGUCACAGCUGGACUUUCUAACUGUGUUUCCAGGACAAAUAAGGCAGAGCAACAGACAUGGCCAGUCCAGCACACAGAUCUGCCACAUGCUCACAUGGUAUUUAUUGACCCCUCUUCUCAUUGCCUUCUUCUGCCUUGCCACGCUUGCU